This 2290-nucleotide long non-coding RNA is filed under the name Bemisia tabaci. RNAcentral describes it as "lncRNA ENSSSA1NGG004263". The record is from RNAcentral. Lineage: Eukaryota; Metazoa; Arthropoda; Insecta; Hemiptera; Aleyrodidae.
AAUCGUUUCAAAGCACCGAGGCAUGCUGUAAUUUCAAGGCGUGUGGCUGAAUUGGGAGAUGAAAGCACCGAAACUACUUCGACGAACUUUAAGACUGUCAUUGAAAAUGUCGAAUCUAAAUUGCUGCUGCCGAGCUCCUCUGAUAAAAUUUGUGGACUUCAGAUAUUAUCAAAUGUUUUAGACGAGCCGGGAGUAUUGAAAGAAAUUAUUGAGACCAAAAUCACGAAGUUGAUAGCUCCAUGUCUUGUUGACUCUCAUCCCUCUCUAAGAAAUGUUGCGGCUGCAACCUUGAGGUACGUAUCUUUAUAAGUCCUGCAUCACUUGGAUUAUCCUUGGCAAGAAUACAUGAAACCUAUCAUUGUAUUACCUAAGAUAAAAAACUUUCCAGAAACAAGGUUUAUGAUGACAUACUUAUCUUCAUUUUCAAAGAAAGUAUAGAAGUUAAGUUUCAAAGUCUGUGACUUUGGAUAUCCUUCCACAAUGGACCAGUAGACAAGGCGCAAAUUUCAGCAUUCUGAUACACAUUUCAUAGCCCAAAUUUCACGUAGAACACGUUGCGCACAACAAAAAUGACCAAAAUCAACUCCUUACGAAGAUAUUUAAUGAUUUUUGAUGCAUGAAUUGAAACCACCCGCUUAUGAAAACUCAAUGCUCUACGUGAUUCACAUCGCGCGCUAAACGUUAUCAUGACAGUCUCUGCGAUAUAAAAAUCUGGCAACCUCAAUCUUGACGCUUUGGCUCAGCUUUAGCAAGUUGUUUAUAGUUUGAACAACACACGGUGGGAAAUGAACAUUGCUCGAUUGAGAAGCUUGCUGAAACCGUUGUAGUGCACGAUUUGACUCACGUAGAGCUUUGAGUUUCUUGUGAGCGGGCAGUUCAAAUUCCUCGUGACCAAUGUGAAAUAAAAACGUUAAUAUCUUUGUUAGGAGUUGAUUUCGGUAAUUUUCAUCGCACGAAUCGUGUUUUAUGUGAAAUUCUGGUCAAGAAACAUGUAUCAGAAUGCUUAAAUUCGUACCAUGUCUAGUGGUCCAUUUGUUGAAAAGAAAGAAGUAAAAUUUGAAAAUUCACUUAAAAAAUUAAAAAAAUUUUAUCGAUAAUUGAAAUAUUUUGUAAAAGUUACUUAAGGAAAUCCCUAUUGAGUUACUUAAAAUCGCUUAUCUCUAAUUUUCAAGCUUAUUUCGUCCUCAGUGGUAAUCUAGAUGAGUUGGAAAGUCGCCUAGAUCACAAUUUCUCUCUGUCCCUUGACAAUUCGACUUAACCAGAUUUCACUGUAAAAGGAUCUUUUACGUUUGGUAAAAUUCAAAUAUUUUCACUAAGCAUUUACAGGUUGUUAAGUAAUAGAGUCUGUAUGCCUCAGACAUAUUUUGUUUUCUCCCUUUCAGAAUUCUAAGUGAUCAUGGUGACUUAUGUGAUGCUCUUAUUGAACAGGACAUAAUGACCCCAGUUGUAGCUUUCAUUCAUAAGGUAUGUGUCAUUUAUUCAUUCGUUGACUCAGGGAUUUUUCCUCCUUGAAUUUCUCAAAUAACUUAAUCAGUUAGUAGCAAAUGAUCUAAAAAAAUUCUCAUCCAGGUGACCAUUGUAAUUGUUCAGUACCUGUCAUUUCCUCUCUUCGUACGUGGCCCUGGAUCAGUUGAGUUUUCCAUAUAGCACACAACGUGGACUUUUGAAUUUUCCUGAAAGUACCUGUUUUUUAAGAAGCUCUCAAUUUUGCAAAAAAUUGAUAGGUAAAGGGCACAAACUAAUGUCAUAUUUAAACUCAGCCCUAAAAAUUGAAUGGAGAUCAUUUAUAAAAUCUCCUGUAUUUGUAAAAUUGUUUUCUUUGUAGACUUGUCCUAUUGCCAUAAUAAUUGAGAAAACUUUGAGUGCCUGCAAUUCUUUUAAUGCGCAACCAGCUCAACUAAUAUGGGUGUUUCUUCAUGUUCUAGGGUCUUAAUUAAAACGCUACCAUGCUAUGACUCUCAAAUCUCUUGGCUAAAAAUCCCUGUUUAAUGGGACACAUAUUUUUCUCGAAUUUCAGCCUUGUCCCUGCUCUUAAGACUGUAUUUCUUUCAAAGUAACACACAGUGUUUUCAUGCCUAUUAUCGUCAACCUCACUCGAUGAUUUUUUUGUCUUUAGCAUCAUUAUUUUUGGCAGUAAGAUUAUUGCUCAAGUGGAACCAUGCCUUGUAGGUAGGUCAGAAAACCACCUUCUCUUCCUUGUUUCGGCGAAAUUUGAUCUUUGUCAGCAUUAAUGCAGGCAUUUUUCAUUUCAUUUUUCUGAUCUCCUAGGCAGUAUUUUGUCAAUUUUUAA